Gadus macrocephalus (Pacific cod) is the source of this 1537-nucleotide long non-coding RNA. RefSeq lists it as uncharacterized. The transcript has 2 exons. NCBI's taxonomy places the organism in Eukaryota, Metazoa, Chordata, Actinopteri, Gadiformes, Gadidae. The record is from RefSeq and is a predicted model, not a curated record.
GGUAUAUAUGCAGGGGAAGGGUCUCACCUCGAGGACGUACUGCCAGGCGCGUUCCACGUCUCCCUGGGAGGAGAAGCGCCUCAUGAUCAUAGAGUGGAGCUCAGGGAACUGGAACAGACAGCCAGAUCGUGCGUGAGUCGUUUAAGGUCUCCUGUUGUGACGUGGUCCUAAAUGAGGCCGCCCUCCUGUGUGAAGGCGUGCGCCCAGCGCCUCACCUGUUGGCAGGCGAAGAGCACCGGGCCCGUGGCGAGGCCCAGCUUGAGGUCGGCCGCCGACGGCUUCCCCAGGUGAGCGGCGCACGCCGUGAAGUCCAACACAUCGUCCACCAGCUGGGGGGAGAGAGAGAGAGAGAGAGAGAGAGAGAGAGUCAUCCAGUCAUCUGGUUUAGAUUCUGUUUGCAAUCUUAUCCAGCUUUUCUCCUGUCCCUCUCCUAAACUAUCUCACCCAUUAGAAAUGGGACUAACCAAUUCGAGAACAAAUAAUAAUAAUCCCAAAACUUAAUAUUUAGAUCAUAUUGUUCCAUUUUACAUCCCAGUACAAUCAAAGCAUAUAAAGAACACCAUUACAAAUCAAUUAUAACAAUAAGAAUCAGCAGUUAUUAACAUUAGCGUAAUUUAAUUGUAAUUAAUAUUAACGUUUUUUUUGUUGUUUUUUUAAACAAGAAGCGAGAGGUCAGCACGCACCUGGAACGCAAUGCCCACGUUCUUGCCGUACUGGAACGCUAUCUCAUGCACUUCCGGGUCAGAGUUCACCAGGAUGGACACCUUUUAAAGACAGACACACAGACAGACGGACAGAGGACGGUGAGCAGGGCGUGUCGCGGGGAGCCGGCCGCGGCGGGGGAAGGUGCGUACUGAACGUACAUACUGCUCGACAGCUGUUGGCGAUGAGGCUGGCCGUCUUCUUGAAGGUCUUGUCCAAGUAGUGCUUGAAGCGCUCGUUCUCGUUCUCCUUGGAGCCCAUCUGCAUGAACUCCCCUGGGGAGGGAAGAAUGACCGACGGGUGAGACAGAAAAGAGUAAAGCAGCUUUCACACCGCCGCGCGGCAACUCGCCGCCUCCAUUCAUUUCAAUGAGGGAAGGGCGGCAGAGGGGAGGCGCUUACAAAAGCGGCUGUUGGACCAGGAAGCGGUUGCUGUUUGCACGUGUGCAAACAGCUUAAUGCUUUUCUCCGGGGCUUUUAUUUUGAAGAGUAAACGUGUGGUAGUCGUGAUUGGGUAACGGUGUAUCUGUUGUGGAAGUUAGGCAAUCAGGCACUUCCAGCAAAUGUUGCAGUGAGUUCAACCACAUUAAACCACCGUCUAUCUACCCUCCGGAAUUCCCUCCCUCUGGCCAUCCGAAACUCUGAUACACUCCUUUCAUUCAAAAGUCAACUUAAAUCCCAUAUUUUAAGGACCACCUACAACAUCUGACAAACACACACACACACACACACACACACACACACACACACACACACACACACACACACACACACACACACACACACACACACACACACACACACACACACACACACACACACACACACACACACAC